RNAcentral lists this ribosomal RNA (421 nucleotides) under uncultured bacterium. RNAcentral's name for it is "partial 16S ribosomal RNA". It matches the Rfam family "Bacterial small subunit ribosomal RNA", at positions 360 to 773 of the family's 1533-position model. The record is from RNAcentral.
AAUUUUUGACCAGGUGGGCAACCCUGAUCCAGCCAUCCCGCGUUUGCGAUGAAGGNCUNNGGGUUNUNAAGCACUUUUGGCAGNNNNNAAAAGGCUCUGGCUAAUACCUGGAUAUGCUUAUGGUACCUGCAGAAUAAGCACCGGCUAACUACGUUCCCGCAGCCGCGGUAAUACGUAGGGUGCAAGCGUUAAUCGGAAUUACUGGGCGUAAAGCGUGCGCAGGCGGUUCGGCAAGAAGGAUGUGAAAUCCCAGGGCUUAACCUUGGAACUGCAUUCUUAACUGCCGGGCUAGAGGAUGACAGAGGGGGGUAGAAUUCCGCGUGUAGCAGUGAAAUGCGUAGAGAUGCGGAGGAAUACCGAUGGCGAAGGCAGCCCCCUGGGAUAAUACUGACGCUCAUGCACGAAAGCGUGGGGAGCAAAC